ACGCUACAGUCUGAUCACCAGCCAAAGAAAUCAUUUGAUGCUAAUGGAGCAUCUACUUUAUCAAAACUGCCUACACCCACAUCUUCUGUCCCUGCACAGAAAACAGAAAGAAAAGAAUCUACAUCAGGAGACAAAUCCGUAUCACAUUCUUGCACAACUCCUUCCACGUCUUCUGCCUCUGGACUGAACCCCACAUCUGCACCUCCAACAUCUGCUUCAGCGGUCCCUGUUUCUCCUGUUCCACAGUCACCAAUACCUCCCUUACUUCAGGACCCAAAUCUUCUUAGACAAUUGCUUCCUGCUUUGCAAGCCACGCUGCAGCUUAAUAAUUCUAAUGUGGACAUAUCUAAAAUAAAUGAAGGUAAAUCUUCAUAACAGUUUUUUAAAAAUUUAUUUGCAUUGUGCAAAGUUAUGUAAGUAGUAAAAUCCCCAGUUUAGGAAUGGUCUUUGUUUUCUUUUGAAAUUUAUAGUUGAACACUUUUUUUUGUUUUGUUUUUUGUUUUUGGAGUUUGGAAAUUUAUAU
Molecule: small RNA, 523 nt
Filed under: Pan troglodytes (chimpanzee)
Lineage: Eukaryota; Metazoa; Chordata; Mammalia; Primates; Hominidae
Description: retained intron
Source: RNAcentral